Molecule: ribosomal RNA, 428 nt
Filed under: uncultured bacterium
Lineage: Bacteria
Description: partial 16S ribosomal RNA
Rfam family: Bacterial small subunit ribosomal RNA
Source: RNAcentral
GUAGGGAAUAUUGCGCAAUGGACGAAAGUCUGACGCAGCGACGCCGCGUGAGUGAUGAAGGCCUUAGGGUCGUAAAGCUCUGUUGAAUGGGAAGACAAAAAUGACGGUACCAUUCGAGGAAGGACCGGCUAACUUCGUGCCAGCAGCCGCGGUAAUACGAGGGGUCCUAGCGUUGUUCGGAAUCAUUGGGCGUAAAGGGUGUGUAGGUGGCCAUGUAAGUCAGGUGUGAAAGCCCCGGGCUCAACCCGGGAAGUGCACUUGAUACUGCUUGGGUUGAGUACCGAAGAGGGUAGUGGAAUUCCAGGUGUAGUGGUGAAAUACGUAGAUAUCUGGAGGAACACCGGUGGCGAAGGCGGCUACCUGGUCGAGUACUGACACUGAGACACGAAAGCAUGGGGAUCAAACAGGAUUAGAAACCCCGGUAGUCC